AGGUCUAUAGCUCAGUUGGUUAGAGCGCUACCUUGACAUGGUAGAGGUCAGCAGUUCGAAUCUGCUUAGACCUACCA
This 77-nucleotide transfer RNA is filed under the name Marinomonas communis. RNAcentral's name for it is "tRNA-Val". It matches the Rfam family "tRNA". From Rfam's summary of the family: Transfer RNA (tRNA) molecules are approximately 80 nucleotides in length. Their secondary structure includes four short double-helical elements and three loops (D, anti-codon, and T loops). RNAcentral also lists the same sequence under 8 other names. The record is from RNAcentral. Lineage: Bacteria; Pseudomonadati; Pseudomonadota; Gammaproteobacteria; Oceanospirillales; Oceanospirillaceae.